UUGGUGGAAACGUUUCGGGGUUCCGCAGCAUUCCUGUGUGCGUUUAAAGUCCCAGCGCAGCAGCCGGGUGCAGGCACAGCCGCAGGUGUGGCACGUUUGCAGCGCCUCGGUGCUACCAGACCCUGCUCAGCAAAACGAGCCGGACAGGGGCUCUCCGUGAGCCCUGCUCUCCCCGCAGGGCUUGUCUCCCUGCCAGCGAGGACAGAAAGCGCAAGCAAUGACGGUGUCCACAAAGACGGAUGGAGUCUGCUUGGCCUAUGCAGAUGUAUUUUGUAAUUUCUACAUGAUGCCUUUCACAUGUGGGCCUGGGAGGACUUUACAGCAAUUUUUCUGACCAGAAAAACACUUCCAGUGUGGAUGAAAACAGAACCAGAGAUGUUUUGAAAACAUGCAAAAGUUUGUUUCAAAAGUGAGCAGUUGAUUGUCAGCAAUCUGUCGCGUGCUGAGCGGAGGACAGUGUGGUGGAAAUACCUAUGAAGCAGUGAGAGCCUUAUCAAGGUACUGUACCAGGAAAUACACCGCUUUCUUUCCUACUUCAUGCACGAUACUAUGAUUAAAACCAACAGCACGCCUCAUCAUAACACGUGCCUUAUCAGCCCCACCAUCUGAUGACAGCAGCAGCCCUCGGGAGAGCAGACUGACAUCAUCCAAAACCUCAGCAGCUCAAGACUGAAGUAUGUAGCUAGGCUGCAAGCUGUGCUUGACUGUGCCGAUCUGUUUGUACUAAACUUGCAGGUACUUUGCUGGAGGAAAAGGAGUAUAAAAAUCAAGCCCAAACAAUGUUUCUGAAUGUUCCUGAUAGGCCGUCGUGCUAUUUAGCAAAUGAAUACAGCAGGCAAAGGAGGUUUUUGCCCUCAGCAAGUAUAACAAGUCUGCUCCACAGCUUUCUGUAGCUUUGUGGGGGGGGAAGGUCAAACCAAGACAUUGUCACUGCCUUGAGGACGGUGCCACUGGUGAUUUGGUACAGAGCCCCACUUCCAGCUGGGGCUGGAAUUCCCCCACAUUCAGUUGUGUGUGGCUGUGAGGUUUAGGUUCGUCCUGUAUUGGUGGAGCUCCGAAUCUCUAGAUACUAAUCUUCAUCAUGGCUGGUUCAUUGCCAGUCUUCUUGUUUGGUUACUGGUGGUUCACCGAGGCAAAUCAUAUUGGCUCUGACCUUCUGGUCUCCUUUCUAUUAUUUAAAAUGAGAAUUUCUACAGUCACAAAAAUAAGAAACAGAAAAUUGAGUAGGCUUUUCUUGUGUAACAUUCAGCAAACUUCUCUGGUUUUAAUUUGUUCUCCCUGUCCUGGGUUCUUCAAAACACCUUCUCUCAUUUACGUCAGCCUAGAUUUACCACACCCCAGUUAUUUCAGACCUGGAUAGCAGCAUGGAAAAAGAUUACCAGUCAUCUGGAGCUGCUUCCUUAUGCCUUGGACAAAAGAAGAUCGUAUGGGACCAUAUUCAUUCAAGAACUGCCUUUGUGUUUGUACAGAGCCUAGCAUGAGUGAGCCUACUCCUUCUUCCCGUUCGCUGUGCUACAAAAUUGUUCUUAAGAACACCCUCUGCUUUUAACCUUUGGGUUUUGGUUGGUUUGUUUUUAGCUGCAAUGCAAGCUUUCAGAGGGAAAUCAGGCCAGAUUUAAAUGCUGAAUGCAUGCAUAGCAACACAAGUAGGGCGAUCCAGGCACGGAUGCUGAGUGUCCAUUGAGAGCCCCGGGCCAUGCAGGCUGGGGGGGCUGUACUGCCUGCUGGGACCCCCUGGGCCCUGCGGCCUUUUGAGGUGUCCCCGCUCCUGUCACAGGGAUUUGGGGGGCUGCUUUGCCGGAGAGACCUUGUGUCGCAGGGCACGCUCGCUCUGCCAUAAACUCCCUGCGGGCUCCUUGCCCUCCCAUCGCCGCUGCCCGCCCGGAUCGCCCCAGCGAGGAUGGGCACCCAGCCACGCCAUGGGCAUCAGCUCCUCACAGCGCCUGCAAAGCGCUGGAAACACCCAGCCAAAGGAAAAUACACGAUUGUUAUGUUAUUGUCUCCGUGAAGGCUUGGCUCAAGGGACGGGCUGCAAAGACGUCUGGUGGAAUUAAGACUUGCCUUUUAAGAUAGAGCAUUAGAUAAAUCCAGCUGUGUUGUGGGACUGCUGGAAGCCUCCCCGAACAAGUGUGGGGAACUUGUAGUGGUUUUUGAGGCAUAGUGCUAUUGUCUAUUUUGUUGAACGUAUUUCUUUGUCUUGGUGAACUUUAAGGAGCACUGAGAACACAAUGUGCCAUAGGGGAAAGAGUUACAAAAAGACAUGAUUAGAAAAUGGAACAAUUUAAAAAUUUCUUCUCCUACAGUGCUUUCUAAAAUAUUCCUAUUCUGAAGCCCACUUGCUUUUUUUCUGCCUGAUACACCCAGGGCUCUUACCCGGCUCUGCGACAUUACUCAGUUAGUGCUUUAGUUGAUUUACUCUCAUCAUUGCUAAAAAUACUGUAAAAACCCACUUCUAAAUAAAUGACACAGUGAAAGGUUGUUGAAGUCGGGGUUUGGUAGGAAACACAGGUGGGAAUUUUCAGGUUUACAGACAGCUCCUGGUCCCACUCCUGAGGAGGAAGCGCUUUUGAAAGGCUCCUGUGAAAUAUGCUGAUGGUCUGAGCAUCCACAUCAUCAACUCCCCAUGACAAUUGCCACUGAUUGACCACUUGCUGGCUGUCUCCGCUGCAGCCCAGGAAUGGAUGAGUCAUGGAAACAGAAUUCCCCUUCACCCUGGCAGCCUCCCAGGCCCUCUGGGGGACUGCAUUGACAACAGAGAUGGAAAGCCAGCACUGCUUUUUUUGACACUGUGAAUCAUUGAUCAAACAAAACUCUUCUGCUUCCAUGGACUUGAUAUCAAGGCAACGUUUUUCAUUAGUGCUACCUGAACAAUUACAUACUAAGAGAACAAUCUCAGAUAGUGCUGGGCACAUUAUUUUGUCUUGAAAAUUGAUUCUGUGCUACUUUAGGCCAGAAACAAAUGUAUACCAUGUUUGCUAGAAGCUUUAUCAGAAGAUGCUGAAAACGAUUGCCAUGCGUAAGUGCAGCAGUAUUUAAAUACUGGUUUUCAUUUUCGAAUGAUUUUCUGACAUGGGGUUUGGUUGCAUUUUAAUAAUCUCUAAAUGGAACAACCCUGUUGGGAAAAAAAAUACAAUAAAAGAGGAGGAAAUUAA
Molecule: long non-coding RNA, 3152 nt
Organism: Pyrgilauda ruficollis (rufous-necked snowfinch)
Lineage: Eukaryota; Metazoa; Chordata; Aves; Passeriformes; Passeridae
Exons: 3
Source: RefSeq, a predicted model, not a curated record